Molecule: transfer RNA, 86 nt
Filed under: Microcaldota archaeon
Lineage: Archaea; Nanobdellati; Microcaldota
Also listed under: 1 other name
Description: tRNA-Ser
Rfam family: tRNA
About the family: Transfer RNA (tRNA) molecules are approximately 80 nucleotides in length.
Source: RNAcentral
GCUGGGUUCGCCUAGUGGCAGGGCGGCAGCCUGCUAAGCUGUUUGGCUAGAAAUGGCCUUCGCGAGUUCGAUUCUCGCACCCAGCG